GGAUCAACCCAGACGCCUUGCACUCAGACGCCGAGUCUACGUAGGCCCUGGGACUGCGCAGGCGCAGGGGUCUGCGCAGGCGCGUGGCGUCGGACUUCCCUAGAGCGGGCUUGGACUCCAGCUGAACCCGGAAAGUUCCCGCGGGCGGACGCGGACAGAUUCAGUGUCACGGAUCCAGCAGCAACCUGGCUGCAGCUGAGCAUCUGAAACCGCCAAGUACCUGCUGACAUCCCAGGAAGGAAGUAGCUGUGUGACCUUCUCAUCAUCACAAAACAGAGGCUCUACAGCCAUUGGAUCUUCUUCUAAGUUAUCAGGGGAGGCAGGAGGCGACCCCACCCUCAGGAGAUUGACAGCCUACCUGCGGAGAUGAGGAUCCCAGAAUAGCUCUCACGGCUGACGGAGGCCCCCCUAUUGGCCCGGCAGGACAGGCCUCCCUGACCCCCGCCCAGCCUCAGGCCCAGCUCACAGCAAAGCCUCACCAGCCACCCGCAGGCGCGAAUUCAGAGCAGACAUUUGGCGGUGGGCCACCAUGUGAAGACAACUGAUUAGCCUCCACGCACCCCCAUCACCCCCCGCCCAUGGUGAUGUGAGUGCCAACGCUCCCGGGUGGCUGGAUGGCUGUCCCCGGUGGUGCCACACGGCCUCCAGGGGCAGCCUGUCCCCAGGCCGUGGCUCCCGGAUUUGUGGGCCAGCAUGCCUGUGCCUGACCAGAUGAGCGGCAGGGCCCCAGGGUAAACAGUCUGGCAGGUAGGAGUUACGCUCUGCCUUUUCCCCGAGCCCCAAAUCUCCAAACAGCCCCCAACCCGUUUCCUACUCCAGAUGUGUUGAAAUAAAUCUCUGGUCCCAUUUCUGCCUUCAUGCCAAGGCUUUGGGUAAGAAAGAACCCACAGAAUGGGAGAAAAUAUUUGCACAUCAUGUAUCUGUUAAAUCGAUGGCAUCCAGAAUAUACAAAGAAUUCUUGCAAUU
Long non-coding RNA from Felis catus (domestic cat), 966 nucleotides. RefSeq lists it as uncharacterized. Lineage: Eukaryota; Metazoa; Chordata; Mammalia; Carnivora; Felidae. The record is from RefSeq and is a predicted model, not a curated record. The transcript is spliced from 4 exons.